GAACGAUGAAACUUAAAUGAUUUCUUCGGAAUGAACUUAAGUGGAUUAGUGGCGGACGGGUGAGUAACGCGUGAGUAACCUGCCUUACACAAGGGGAUAGCCGUUGGAAACGACGAAUAAUACCCUAUGAAACUAUCACUUCGCAUGAAGCGAUAGUCAAAGUGUUAGCGGUGUAAGAUGGACUUGCGUCUGAUUAGCUAGUUGGUGAGAAAAAAGCCCACCAAGGCAACGAUCAGUAGCCGGCUUGAGAGAGUGUACGGCCACAUUGGGACUGAGACACGGCCCAGACUCCUACGGGAGGCAGCAGUGGGGAAUUUUGCACAAUGGGGGAAACCCUGAUGCAGCGACGCCGCGUGAUUUAGAAGGCCUUCGGGUUGUAAAGAUCUUUUGUAUAGGAAGAAAAUGACAGUACUAUACGAAUAAGGUCCGGCUAAUUACGUGCCAGCAGCCGCGGUAAUACGUAAGGACCGAGCGUUGUCCGGAAUCAUUGGGCGUAAAGGGUACGUAGGCGGGUCAUUAAGUUAGAAGUCAAAGGCUAUAGCUCAACUAUAGUAAGCUUCUAAAACUGGAGACCUUGAGUAAUGGAAGGGAAAGUGGAAUUCCUAGUGUAGCGGUGGAAUGCGCAGAUAUUAGGAGGAAUACCGGUGGCGAAGGCGACUUUCUGGCCAUUAACUGACGCUGAGGUACGAAAGCGUGGGUAGCAAACAGGA
Molecule: ribosomal RNA, 710 nt
Filed under: uncultured Eubacteriales bacterium
Lineage: Bacteria; Bacillati; Bacillota; Clostridia; Eubacteriales
Description: bacterial SSU rRNA
Rfam family: Bacterial small subunit ribosomal RNA
Source: RNAcentral